RNAcentral lists this ribosomal RNA (253 nucleotides) under uncultured bacterium. Its description in RNAcentral is "partial 16S ribosomal RNA". It matches the Rfam family "Bacterial small subunit ribosomal RNA", at positions 524 to 776 of the family's 1533-position model. The record is from RNAcentral.
UACGGGGGGAGCAAGCGUUGUUCGGAUUUACUGGGCGUAAAGGGCGCGUAGGCGGCGCAACAAGUCACUUGUGAAAUCUCCGGGCUUAACCCGGAGCGGCCAAGUGAUACUGUCGGGCUAGAGUGCGGAAGGGGCGACUGGAAUUCUCGGUGUAGCGGUGAAAUGCGUAGAUAUCGAGAGGAACACCUGCGGCGAAGGCGGGUAGCUGGGCCGAAACUGACGCUGAGGAGCGAAAGCGUGGGGAGCAAACAGG